UUAUAGUUAUUUCUUCUUGCCUGAUGUCGUGAAAACUGGCAUAAGGGUGUGAGAUCUUUCCAGGUACACGCAGAAAACGGAGCAUAAAGGCCUGAGAAAUAAUACU
Molecule: long non-coding RNA, 106 nt
Organism: Poecilia latipinna (sailfin molly)
Lineage: Eukaryota; Metazoa; Chordata; Actinopteri; Cyprinodontiformes; Poeciliidae
Exons: 3
Source: RefSeq, a predicted model, not a curated record